AACGAACGCUGGCGGCAUGCCUAACACAUGCAAGUCGAACGAGACCUUCGGGUCUAGUGGCGCACGGGUGCGUAACGCGUGGGAAUCUGCCCCUUGGUUCGGAAUAACAGUUAGAAAUGACUGCUAAUACCGGAUGAUGACGAAAGUCCAAAGAUUUAUCGCCGAGGGAUGAGCCCGCGUAGGAUUAGCUAGUUGGUGAGGUAAAGGCUCACCAAGGCGACGAUCCUUAGCUGGUCUGAGAGGAUGAUCAGCCACACUGGGACUGAGACACGGCCCAGACUCCUACGGGAGGCAGCAGUGGGGAAUAUUGGACAAUGGGCGAAAGACCUGAUCCAGCAAUGCCGCGUGAGUGAUGAAGGCCUUAGGGUCGUAAAGCUCUUUUACCAGGGAUGAUAAUGACAGUACCUGGAGAAUAAGCUCCGGCUAACUCCGUG
Molecule: ribosomal RNA, 434 nt
Filed under: uncultured bacterium
Lineage: Bacteria
Description: bacterial SSU rRNA
Rfam family: Bacterial small subunit ribosomal RNA
Source: RNAcentral